GAAAUGCGAUAAGUAAUGUGAAUUGCAGAAUUCCGUGAAUCAUCGAAUCUUUGAACGCACAUUGCGCCCUCUGGCAUUCCGGGGGGGAUGCCUAUCCGAGCGUCAUUACGCACCCUCAAGCCCGGCUUGUGUGAUGGGCCCCGGCGUCUCGUUCGCGAGACGGGCCCGAAAGGCAGCGGCGGCGUCGACCCGAUGAGCCCGAGCGUAUGGGGACUUCUGUCACACGUUCGCGGUGCGGACCGGCGCCUGCUUGACUUUUCUGAUUAUCCAGGUUGACCUCGGAUCAGGUAGGGAUACCCGCUGAACUUAAGC
Molecule: unclassified non-coding RNA, 312 nt
Filed under: plant metagenome
Description: partial contains 5.8S ribosomal RNA, internal transcribed spacer 2, and large subunit ribosomal RNA
Rfam family: 5.8S ribosomal RNA (bases 1-105)
Source: RNAcentral